This 2494-nucleotide long non-coding RNA is filed under the name Mus musculus (house mouse). Its description in RNAcentral is "predicted gene 14565". The record is from RNAcentral. Lineage: Eukaryota; Metazoa; Chordata; Mammalia; Rodentia; Muridae.
CCUGUCAAGCUGACUCCACCAGAGUGUGUGGCAGAAAUGCAAAUAGUUCUUCCUGUGUAAGAAAUAACAAACAUCUUCUGAAAUACUCCCUCUGCAAAGCCUCUUUGGAAAAACAAAUGACUAUCCAGGUUCUAUUCUUAGCCAUGCCUAGUUAAAAUCAGGCAUUUUGGAGGUAACUGUAGAACUUGGGGCUAAAGAAAAAAAUGGCUCCUUUUAAAAUCAAGUUGCGGCCUUCUGGUUUCUAUCUCCACCUGUAGCAAAUCCUCUGCCACUGGGCUCCAUACCCAAAUAGCGCCUUGAGGGAGCAAGCUUCCCAGGAGUGCAGACAGGACUGUGAGUACAGGGAGAACCAUCACUGCUGCUCAGAGGAACUUGUCCAGAACCUCAGGACCCAGGAACCAAGGGGCAGCUUGGGACAGGAGCCUUACUGUCUCAGGAGAGAGCUGGUCUCCCAGGAGUGCCUACACACCUGUGAGCACAGAUAAGACCACCACUUCUCUUCAAAUUCCUGGCCCAAGAGGGACUCUCACAGAGCCAUCAAGAUACAGGAACCAAGGAUCAGCUGGGGACAGAAUCUUUCUGGUUUCUGUCUGCACCCCAGAGCUGACCCUGUACCACAGCUCUCCAUACCUAAAUUCCUCCCAGAGAGAACUGGUCUCCCAGGAGUACUGACACACAGGCUUGCAGGAGGGACAAGCCAAAGUCAGAGACAGCAAGACCAGCUAACACCAGAGAUAGCCAGAUAUUGAGAGGUAAGCACAAGAGCAUUAGCAACAGAAACCAAGACUACUUGGCAUCAUCAAAACCCAGUUCUCCCAUCACAGCCAAAGCCCUGGUUACCCCAACACACCAGAAAGGCAAGACUGAUUCAAAAUCACAUCUUAUGGUGGUGAUAGAGGAAUUUAAGAAGGACAUAAAUAACUCCCUUAAAGAAAUACAGGAGAACACAGGAAAACAGGUAGAAAACUUUAAAGAGGAAACAUAAAAAUCCCUUAAAGAAUUACACAACCAAACAGGUGAAGGAACUAAACAAAACCAUCCAGGAACUAAAAAUGGAAAUAGAAACAAUAAAGAAAUCACAAAGGGAGACAACACUGGAGUUAGAAAAACUAGGAGUAACAGAUGCAAGGAGUCACAGAUGCAAGAACUCUCAAUUCUGAACAUCUAUCGCCCAAAUGCAAGGGCACCCAGAAUUCUCAACUGAGGAAUAUAGAAUGGCUGAGAAGCACCUAAAGAUAUGUUCAACAUCCUUAAUCAUCAGGGAAAUGCAAAUCAAAACAACCCUGAGAUUCCACCUCACACCAGUCAGAAUGGCUAAGAUCAAAAAUUCAGCUGACAGCAGAUGCUGGUAAGGAUGUGGAGAAAGAGAAACACUCCUUCAUUGCUGGUGAGAUUACAAGCUGGUACAAUCACUCUGAAAAUCAGUUUGGCGGUGCCUUAGAAAAUUGGACAUAGUACUUACAGAAGGACUCAGCAAUACCACUCCUGGGUAUAUACCCAGAAGAUGCUCCAACAUGUAAUAAGGACACAUGCUCCACUAUGUUCAUAGCAGCCUCAUUUAUAAUAGCCAGAAGCUGAAAAGAAUACAGAUGUCCCUCAACAGAGGAAUGGAUACAAAAAAUGUGGUACAUUUACACAAUGGAGUACUAGUCAGCUAUUAAAAACAACAGAUUUAUGAAAUUCUUGGGCAAAUGGAUGUAACUAGAAAAUAUCAUCCUGAGAGAGGUAACCCAAUUACAAAAGAACACACAUGGUAUUCACUCACUGAUAAGUGGAUAUUAGCCCGGAAACUCGAAUACCCAAGACACAAUUCACUGACCACAUGAAGCUCUAUAAGCAAGAACACCAAAGUGUGGAUACUUCAGUCCUUCUUAGAAGGGGAAACAAAAUACCCAUGGGAGGAGUUACAGAGACAAAGUGUGGAGCAGAAACUGAAGGAAAGGUCAUCCAGAGACUGUCCCACCUGGAGAUCCAUCCCAUAUACAGUCACCAAAACCAGACACUAUUGUGGAUGCCAACAAGUGCUUGCUGACAGGAGCCUGAUAUAGCUGUCUCCUGAGGGACUCCACCAGUGCCUGACAAAUACAGAGGUAGUUGCUCUUAGCCAACCAUUGAAGUGAGCACAGGGUCCCCAAUGAAGGAACUAGAGAAAGGACACAAGGAGCUGAAGGGGUUUGCAGCCCCAUAGGAGGAAGAACAAUAUGAACCAACCAGACCCCCCAGAGCUCCCAGGGAUUAAACCACCAACCAAAGAGCACAAAUGAAGGGACCCAUAACUCCAGCCACAUAUGUAGCAGAGGAUGGCCUUGUCAGUCAUCAAUGGGAGGAGAGGCCCUUGGUCCUGUGAAGGCUCUAUACCCCAGUAUAGGGGAAUGCCAGAGCCAGGAAGGGGGAUUAGGUAGGUUGGUGAGCAGGGGGAUGGAGGGAAUAGGGGAGUUUUGGAGGGGAAACCAGGAAAGGGAUAACAUUUAAAAUGUAAAUAAAAAAAUAUCUA